UCUUAUUUAAUUAAUAUAUCAAAUGACUUUCGAAACGCUUUAAACACCAAAUACUUAGGCAUCGUUUUCCACUUCAAUUUUCUAAAUAAGGGGAAAUUUAAAAUUCGUUGAAAUUAAAAUUGAGUGGAUUUAAAACAAAAAAAAUGACCGAAAAGUCCCUGCAAACCCUACCCUUAUCUAUCAUCAUUGUCUUCCACCUUCUUCAUCUCCCAAAAAAUCACAGAUGACAGCAACCAGUCGUUGGAAAUCGAAAUCAUCUUCGUCCAUUAAACGCAGAAUCCUACAAAAUCAGAUAGUAUCAACUACAAAAACAUUGCAAAACUCUACUGUAGUCAUAUUCGAAUAAAGUGAAGGAUACUUACGUGGUCGAUGAAAUCGAGGAAGAUGAGUGACGACUACUGCACUCAAGAACGACGACGACCAGAAGAUACAAGAUGAGAUCGACCCCGUGCAAAAUGAGUGGGAUUUGGAUAAUCC
RNAcentral lists this long non-coding RNA (477 nucleotides) under Linum usitatissimum (flax). RNAcentral's name for it is "long non-coding RNA (LUSI_LNC005303)". The record is from RNAcentral. Lineage: Eukaryota; Viridiplantae; Streptophyta; Magnoliopsida; Malpighiales; Linaceae.